CUUAAGCUUGUAUGUUACGAAAAUGCUUACAGUUUUGUAGUCUUCGUUGCAGACCCAGAGUUAGUAGAUGCUAUUUCAGACAUGUCAAAUCAAACGAUAAUCGAUCGACAAAGGAAAUGGUUCUGCACAUGCUUCCUACCGCGUGUUUAACCAGCUUGUGGUCGACGUGCAUUACCAAAGGAAAUCUAAUCGGGAACCACGAUCAGUUGCAGCAUCAGAAAAGUACAGCUCAAAGGAAUCAACUAAACUUCCUAGUGACAGUGAAUUUAUCAGGUCAAGCAAAAUUUUCCAUCUGACAAAAUAGCAGUACUAGUGGAUGCCGUACAAAAUUACUAUAAAGUGGAAAAGCUGACACCAGAGAUCGUGGAGAUGGCUAAAAACCUCGAAGCUCAUGUGCAUCCUGGUGGAUUGUUGGCAUCGGAACGCCUGUGGAGGGGCAUCAGUAAAGCAAUCGACUGAUGGCGAUGAAGGGUAUGGCACGUAUUCGCCAGCAAAUCCAUAAUAAAUAGACAACGAGAUUAAUCGGAUACGGACGCUGGUGAAAAUGACAUAGAUGCAUCUAUCCACGAAGCCCAUACUUGCCCCAAUUUCUUAUAUAUCCGUUUAAAAAAAAAAAAACAAAAAAAAAACAGUAUGUCACCUCUUUGAAUUCCACCCUUUUCAAACACAUUGGUUCAUCUUAGAUAUAUUGUACUGAUAAUUUUCUAUUUAAAUUGAUCUUUUCGGGGGCAAGAUAAACUUAGGCAGUAUAUAGAACAAUAGUGCGAAACGAAACGUCACGUGGAAAAAUCCCUUAAAUCUUGUUUGAUUUUACGUCACUUGCCUUCGUCAUAUCUGCCUACACUCCGCCUACCAUUUGCAUUCCGACGGCCAACGGCACAUCAAUUUGGAACCAUUGUUUUUAGUUUGAUUUGUACUCGUCAAAGUUGGACUGUUUUUUGAGGUGUCCAUUUGGGAUUUUUUUUUUGUGGGAAUGAUCAUUCGAAAUUCACGGGUUUUGGAAGUUGUGUUAUGCCGACUGGGCUCUCCGUUACCGAAUUCUCUUAAUCAAAACGUAGAUCUUCGCAAUUUGCUUGGCUGUUACGUCACCAUUAACCGAUAUACAAUGGCUAUUGAACGGCGUGAGCGGAUGCUAGAGAAUACACUGACAUGUCUAUAUGAUCAAGAGUCCUAUUUUGGACUGAUUUUGAUGUACUGGUUUAAAGGAAAGUAAAAAGAAGGAAGAUGUAUGCUGGAUUUACUUCGGCAGUUGUAUAGGGAUGAUAGGAUUGCAACGAUCGAUAACGUAAACAGACCCAAACACCUUUCGUAGUGCAUGUCCGCCAUAGCGUCCGUACGCAUAUUAAAUGUGCACGUGCAAUCAAACAUCUUGUUAUUUUAUAUUGAGCGUUCGUAUUAUGCGAUUUCCGAGGAGACGGCACGACACUUUUAGCUGCGAUAAGUUUCGUUAGGGCACGGAGCGUGCCCUGCCCUUAAUACCAAGUACGUCAUUGACGUUCAGUUGUUGUGGAUCAUGUGCUAUUUAAGGGUGCCCUAAUUGGUUUUUCUUUUAACACGUUUCCAACGUUCUCUUGAAAUGUGAAAUGUCUUCUCUGUGGGCCAACGCCAACGUCAUGUUUUAACCAAACUCUGUCGGCUUAACAAAUCUGAACUUAAAUAGCAUGGCUUUAAAAUAAUGUUAGAUACUUAUACGUUGGCGCCCAAAGUCCCACGAGAAAUUCAAGGGCGAUGGAAUUAUGAUUGCCUUUCGCAAAGAUGACUUUAUCAUUGAUUUCUCUCGUCAAAGCGUAUCUUGAACAUCAAAUGGAUAGUAACCGUAGCUCCUUUAGCAUUUGCCAACUUGUUAAGACAUUAAAAAAAUGGCAAAUGAAAUGAAACAUUGGGCAAUAACAGUUUAAUCGGUGACGUGCAAACGUAUAGCUGUAAGAGACUGUAUGUAAAGAGAAUCGACUAAAAACUUGCUUUAUUGUAGGAAAGGUAUAAGUAUAUAAGUAUUAUUAAUGGCGAAAAUUGCGUUGUCCGUCAAGC
Daphnia carinata is the source of this 2028-nucleotide long non-coding RNA. RefSeq lists it as uncharacterized. NCBI's taxonomy places the organism in Eukaryota, Metazoa, Arthropoda, Branchiopoda, Diplostraca, Daphniidae. The record is from RefSeq and is a predicted model, not a curated record. The transcript has 3 exons.